AACGAACGCUGGCGGCAUGCCUAACACAUGCAAGUCGAACGAGACCUUCGGGUCUAGUGGCGCACGGGUGCGUAACGCGUGGGAACCUGCCCUUAGGUUCGGAAUAACUCCCCGAAAGGGGUACUAAUACCGGAUAAUGUCUUCGGACCAAAGAUUUAUCGCCUUUGGAUGGGCCCGCGUUGGAUUAGCUAGUUGGUAGGGUAAAAGCCUACCAAGGCGACGAUCCAUAGCUGGUCUGAGAGGAUGAUCAGCCACACUGGGACUGAGACACGGCCCAGACUCCUACGGGAGGCAGCAGUGGGGAAUAUUGGACAAUGGGCGAAAGCCUGAUCCAGCAAUGCCGCGUGAGUGAUGAAGGCCUUAGGGUUGUAAAGCUCUUUUACCCGGGAUGAUAAUGACAGUACCGGGAGAAUAAGCGCCGGCUAACUCCGUG
This 433-nucleotide ribosomal RNA is filed under the name uncultured bacterium. RNAcentral's name for it is "partial 16S ribosomal RNA". It matches the Rfam family "Bacterial small subunit ribosomal RNA", at positions 29 to 507 of the family's 1533-position model. The record is from RNAcentral.